UACAGAGGUCUCAACCGUUGUUCGGAUUCAUUGGGCGUAAAGGGUGCGUAGGCGGUCGCGCAAGUCGGAUGUGAAAUCUCAGGGCUCAACCCUGAAACUGCAUUCGAUACUGCGUGGCUAGAGUGCUGGAGGGGAGACUGGAAUUUACGGUGUAGCAGUGAAAUGCGUAGAUAUCGUAAGGAAGACCGGUGGCGAAGGCGGCGACCUGGGUAGAUACUGACGCUGAGGCGCGAAAGCGUGGGGAGCAAACAGG
RNAcentral lists this ribosomal RNA (253 nucleotides) under uncultured bacterium. RNAcentral describes it as "partial 16S ribosomal RNA". It matches the Rfam family "Bacterial small subunit ribosomal RNA", at positions 524 to 776 of the family's 1533-position model. The record is from RNAcentral.